RNAcentral lists this ribosomal RNA (253 nucleotides) under uncultured bacterium. Its description in RNAcentral is "partial 16S ribosomal RNA". It matches the Rfam family "Bacterial small subunit ribosomal RNA", at positions 524 to 776 of the family's 1533-position model. The record is from RNAcentral.
UACAGAGGGGGCAAGCGUUGUUCGGAAUUACUGGGCGUAAAGGGCGCGUAGGCGGCCUUCUAAGUCGAACGUGAAAUCCCUGGGCUCAACCCAGGAACUGCGUCCGAUACUGGAAGGCUUGAAUCCGGGAGAGGGAUGCGGAAUUCCAGGUGUAGCGGUGAAAUGCGUAGAGAUCGGGAGGAACAUCAGUGGCGAAGGCGGCCCUCUGGACCAGCACUGACGCUGAGGCACGAAAGCGUGGGGAGCGAACAGG